This 485-nucleotide ribosomal RNA is filed under the name uncultured bacterium. RNAcentral's name for it is "partial 16S ribosomal RNA". It matches the Rfam family "Bacterial small subunit ribosomal RNA", at positions 29 to 523 of the family's 1533-position model. The record is from RNAcentral.
AGUGAACGCUGGCGGCGUGCUUAACACAUGCAAGUCGAACGAGAACGGAAUAUAGCUUGCUAUAUUUGUCAGCUAAGUGGCGCACGGGUGAGUAAUGUAUAGAUAAUCUGCCCUUAAGAAAGGAAUAACAGUUGGAAACGACUGCUAAUGCCCUAUAUGCCUUUAAUACAUAAGUAUGCAAGGGAAACGCUUUAGUGCUUAAGGAUGGGUCUGUAUGGUAUCAGCUUGUUGGUGAGGUAAUGGCUCACCAAGGCUAUGACGCCUAACUGGUUUGAGAGGAUGAUCAGUCACACUGGAACUGAAACACGGUCCAGACUCCUACGGGAGGCAGCAGUGGGGAAUAUUGCACAAUGGACGAAAGUUUGAUGCAGCAACGCCGCGUGGAGGAUGACACAUUUCGGUGCGUAAACUCCUUUUAUAUAGGAAGAUAAUGACGGUACUAUAUGAAUAAGCACCGGCUAACUCCGUGCCAGCAGCCGCCGUAA